Molecule: transfer-messenger RNA, 358 nt
Filed under: uncultured Akkermansia sp.
Lineage: Bacteria; Pseudomonadati; Verrucomicrobiota; Verrucomicrobiia; Verrucomicrobiales; Akkermansiaceae
Rfam family: transfer-messenger RNA
About the family: Bacterial tmRNA, also known as 10Sa RNA or SsrA, is named for its dual tRNA and mRNA-like properties. Its role is to liberate the mRNA from a stalled ribosome.
Source: RNAcentral
GGGGGCGUCCCGGUUUCGACUGAACAUUCGAGGCGCCGGCUGCAUGUGGGGGUUGAACGGCUGGCCCCCUUAUCAAGCCGCUCAAAACAUUAAAUGCCUAUUCCAAGAACGAAUACGCAAUGGCUGCUUAAUUAGCGCCUAGACCUGAAUCCGGACGCCUACUACGGAGGAUGGUCCAGCUUUAGUAGGCAGGUGCUCUGCGGGGGAACCGCGCAGGGUAUGACAUCCACAGGUUCCUGGCUUUGGUGGAAGGCUGACGCAGAGCGGACCACCGGCGAGAGCAGCUAAUCUGCGUCUGAACAUGGAGAUGCUUGCGUCAACAGUGUCCAGGACAGGGGUUCGACUCCCCUCGCCUCCA